AGAGUUUGAUCCUGGCUCAGGAUGAACGCCGGCGGCGUGCCUAACACAUGCAAGUCGAACGGUCUCUUCGGAGAUAGUGGCGGACGGGUGAGUAACGCGUGAGAAUCUGCCUUUAGGUUCGGGACAACAGUUGGAAACGACUGCUAAUACCGAAUGUGUCGCAAGAUGAAAGAUUUAUUGCCUAAAGAUGAGCUCGCGUCCGAUUAGCUAGUUGGUGUGGUAAAGGCGCACCAAGGCGACGAUCGGUAGCUGGUCUGAGAGGAUGAUCAGCCACACUGGGACUGAGACACGGCCCAGACUCCUACGGGAGGCAGCAGUGGGGAAUUUUCCGCAAUGGGCGAAAGCCUGACGGAGCAACGCCGCGUGAGGGAGGAAGGCUCUUGGGUUGUAAACCUCUUUUAUCAAGGAAGAUAAUGACGGUACUUGAUGAAUCAGCAUCGGCUAACUCCGUGCCAGCAGCCGCGGUAAUACGGAGGAUGCAAGCGUUAUCCGGAAUAAUUGGGCGUAAAGCGUUCGUAGGUGGUUCUGUAAGUCUGCUGUUAAAGCGCGUAGCUCAACUACAUAUAGGCAGUGGAAACUACAAAACUUGAGUGCGUUCGGGGUAGAGGGAAUUCCUGGUGUAGCGGUGAAAUGCGUAGAGAUCAGGAAGAACACCGGUGGCGAAGGCGCUCUACUAGACCGCAACUGACACUGAGGGACGAAAGCUAGGGGAGCGAAUGGGAUUAGAUACCCCAGUAGUCCUAGCUGUAAACGAUGGAUACUAGGCGUUGUCUGUAUCGACCCGGACAGUGCCGUAGCUAACGCGUUAAGUAUCCCGCCUGGGGAGUACGCACGCAAGUGUGAAACUCAAAGGAAUUGACGGGGGCCCGCACAAGCGGUGGAGUAUGUGGUUUAAUUCGAUGCAACGCGAAGAACCUUACCAAGGCUUGACAUGUCCGGAAGUUCUGGGAAACUAGAAUGUGCCUUCGGGAACCGGAAUACAGGUGGUGCAUGGCUGUCGUCAGCUCGUGUCGUGAGAUGUUGGGUUAAGUCCCGCAACGAGCGCAACCCUCGUCCUUAGUUGCCAGCACUUCGGGUGGGCACUUUAGGGAGACUGCCGGUGACAAACCGGAGGAAGGUGGGGAUGACGUCAAGUCAUCAUGCCCCUUACGUCUUGGGCUACACACGUACUACAAUGCUAUGGACAAAGAGCAGCAACUAGCGAUAGUGCGCUAAUCUCAUAAACCAUGGCUCAGUUCAGAUCGCAGGCUGCAACUCGCCUGUGUGAAGUAGGAAUCGCUAGUAAUUGCAGGUCAGCAUACUGCAGUGAAUUCGUUCCCGGGCCUUGUACACACCGCCCGUCACACCAUGGAAGUUGGUCACGCCCGAAGUCGUUACCCUAACCGAAAGGAGGGGGACGCCGAAGGUAGGACUGAUGACUGGGGUGAAGUCGUAACAAGGUAACC
Molecule: ribosomal RNA, 1445 nt
Filed under: uncultured bacterium
Lineage: Bacteria
Description: bacterial SSU rRNA
Rfam family: Bacterial small subunit ribosomal RNA
Source: RNAcentral